UAAUAAUGAACUCAAGUUUAUAUUCAAUUGAUUUGACAAAUAUAUUUACAAAGCAGAUGUUUGCCCCUAAUCAAACCCAGGUCAAAACCUAAAACGGCACCAAAAUGACGUCAUUUCAUUAUUAUUAUUAUUAUUAUUUGUUUUGAUUUACCGCACCGUUUGGCUUAGAAAAGGCAAAAGCAACAACAACCCAGCUUUUAUCUUCCUCUUUGUUUCACCACACAACCCGAACAUAGAACCCAAUUGUAAAAGCCAAAAGCAACGAGAAUGUAGUUGCUUUCUCUUCCUCUAGGCGAUAGGGUUUGGCUUAGAUCACGCUCAAGCAAAAGCUUGAACAAGGAUGAGUUUCAGCAUUAUCCUUCAAAGAUGAGUUUGGGCAUUUACAGUGGCUGUGAAAAUUUUCUAAUAGAAAAUUCGUUUUCUAUGUGGCUUUGCAAUAAGGUAAGGUACUGUCUUCUUUGGUAUAAAGUUGAGUUUCAAAGCUUGAAUUUUUCUUGAUGUUGAUUAAUAAGCGGGUAUUGGAUUACAAAUGGUAAUUUCAGGAUGUGGUUGGAGCUAGAUCGACAAAGGAAAGAGGAAAUAUUAGGUUGUGGCUGGAGCUGGUGGCUGGAACUCGAUCGAUGAAGGAAAUGAAAGGGAAAAUAUUUAGUUAUGGUUGGAGUUGGAUCGACGAAGGAAACGAAAGGGAAAAUAUUUGGGUGGAAAAACAGCGUCAUUUUUCAUUAACAAUCCACAUUACAACCCAAACACAGCUCCAUCGACAAAGAAAAUGGGAAAUAUUUGGCAAGGAAAAAUGGCGUCGUUUUUGGCUUUAGCAAAACACUAUAUUUAAAUUUCGAGGUUUGACCCGGUGUAAAUAUCAUUUUCCUUACAUUUAUAUGUAUAUCAAUUACAAAAGUGAUGAGAUAAAAUUGGAGACAAAAUCAAUAGAAUAAAGACAUGUCUAUGGAUGCUUGAUAAAUUAAAAUAAAUGAUUUAUCUUUUUAUUAUGAGAUGCUAAAACUUCUCUUAGAAAGUCCCAUUAACAUUUAAAUGCAGCCUAUUUACGAAGUC
Molecule: long non-coding RNA, 1053 nt
Filed under: Citrus sinensis (sweet orange)
Lineage: Eukaryota; Viridiplantae; Streptophyta; Magnoliopsida; Sapindales; Rutaceae
Description: long non-coding RNA (CSIN_LNC004415)
Source: RNAcentral